UGGGCGCAAGCCUGAUCCAGCAAUGCCGCGUGUGUGAAGAAGGCCUGCGGGUUGUAAAGCACUUUUCUGAAGGAAGAAAUGUUUAAGGUUAAUACCCUUGAAAGUUGACGGUACUUCAAGAAUAAGCACCGGCUAACUCCGUGCCAGCAGCCGCGGUAAUACGGAGGGUGCAAGCGUUAAUCGGAAUUACUGGGCGUAAAGCGUGUGUAGGCGGUCUGCUAAGUCGGGUGUGAAAGCCCCGGGCUUAACCUGGGAAUUGCAUUCGAUACUGGCAGACUUGAAUUUGGUAGAGGGAAGUGGAAUUCCGGGUGUAGCGGUGAAAUGCGUAGAUAUCCGGAGGAACAUCAGUGGCGAAGGCGGCUUCCUGGACCAAAAUUGACGCUGAGGCACGAAAGCGUGGGUAGCAAACAGGAUUAGAUACCCUGGUAGUCCACGCCCUA
This 440-nucleotide ribosomal RNA is filed under the name uncultured bacterium. RNAcentral's name for it is "bacterial SSU rRNA". It matches the Rfam family "Bacterial small subunit ribosomal RNA", at positions 372 to 804 of the family's 1533-position model. The record is from RNAcentral.